This is a long non-coding RNA of Tympanuchus pallidicinctus (lesser prairie-chicken), 6669 nucleotides long. RefSeq lists it as uncharacterized. The record is from RefSeq and is a predicted model, not a curated record. NCBI's taxonomy places the organism in Eukaryota, Metazoa, Chordata, Aves, Galliformes, Phasianidae. The transcript has 2 exons.
AAGGAGAGAUCAAAAUGUGGGAGAUCUGUAGUCCUACUUCAGGCUGUUUGGUCAGGUCUUGCUCCAAAUGGUUUUGGGCAGGUACUGGGAAGGAAGAAAUUGCCUCAUUUUCUGUACUGAGACUUCAGGAUGCCAUAAGAAGUAACUGCAAGCAGAUGGUAUUUUUUCUUUUGGGAUGAUGUUGCAUCAGUCUAUUAGGUGACUAACAUGAAGUCAUCUGUAGUGUUCUGCUAGCAGAUCUUAAAAUAUUCUUACAACCAAAACUGACUGACUUUUCUUAAGAGUUUAGUGUCUUUUCUGGAAGUGCAGAUAUACUGGUCGUCUCCAGAUAAAUGCCAGUUUGUGUAAAUACAUUUUGCUGUUUUAAAGUCAGCCAGCACUUCUGGUUAGAUGUGAUAUUCAUUAUUGCCUGUUUAAAUUGUUUUGUAGCACUGCCACUAAGUAGCUGUCACAUUGCUUUUCCAGGCCUUUUCAUCAGAAAAUGAUAAUUCUGUCUUCUGAGAGUGUAAGCAUUAGGUACUGGAGGAAAAAAACAAAAACUGUAUAAUCUAUAUUGCUUUUGCUGGUGGUUAGUGAAUUGGCAAGAACUGCAUAAUUUUUUUGUGCUGUUUUGCAGUAAUAGCACGGUAAUGGUGGUAAGUAGAAUUUUGCAUGCUUAUCUGUAAAUGACUUCGAUUUCAGCUGCGCUCAUCAACUGUAGCUUCUGCUGGCAUUUAACAGCAGCAGAUUAUCUCAUUUUCCUUCUGAAAAUGAGAUAAUACUUUUCAUAAAUUAUGCUAAAUGAUGUCCACUAGAAAUUUUGUCCAUUUACUGACUCUCACCUGCAUGGUCUGCAGGAGUGCCUUUUGCUUGUGUAACUGUAGAAAGAUACUAAUAAUUUGUUUACGUUGCCACAAUGUCUACAUUAAAGUAUAUCUGAUCAUUAAGUGAAAUAAGGCUGUUCUCCAGAGCUGUGUUUUGACAGUCUGACUGCAGUUAGUCCCUCCACUGGAUUUCUUCCCUGAGACUUUUCUCUUCGGUGCUAACAGGGUGCUACUGGAGUACCUAAAGUGGGAGCAGAGCCCAGGCUCUUUCUCUUCCUGUUAAUGGCCCAUUUGUUGACCCAAGAUAUUCAGUCAUAUUUCUGCUCUGUCUGCAGAGAUACCAUCUAAUGUCUGCAGUGCCAGGUUACUAUGUCAGUAUAUAAGAGGCAAAAGGAAAAAGAACAACUGUGGAAAUGGAAGCAGCUGAAGGUGAAAAAAGCAUGUGGUUAUGUCCAAUUUGAGAGCAUUGCAUGUUCUCAGCAUACCACUUCUCUAAACUUUUAAAUGCUUUGUCAGGGACCCUGCUGAAGUUCCCCAUGGAAUUCCACAUUUGAGUUGCAGUUAUACUGAUUAAAAAUGUCUGCAAAACUAACUGAAGAAAAAAUUAUAAGUGAAUGGAAGGCUAACUGUACCAAGUUGACUGAAUGGUAUAGCAAAGGCACAGCCUACAGCCUUGCUAGGUAAUUCACCCCCCUUUUCCAGCAGAGGUCUCUGGUCUCCUGGAUGUACCUAACGUGCAUAGGAUGCAACUACUAUUGAAAUUAUCUUACUCCCAUUUAACAUAAUCGACUCAAAUGUAGGAUUUUGAAAAGAAAGGGACUGUUUUCUGCAUUCAUAGGUUGAAAUACCCUCAGACGAUUCUCAAUUUUUAACACAUGAUUCAAAACCUUUUUCUGGUAUUCUGAUUGAGAAGACAGAAUCCUAGUUCAUCUUCUUCCUGUGAAUUACUUCUUAAUUUUUUUUUUCGACAGCCACUUAUUUUUGAAAUACAAAUAAUCUGUUUUCACUUGCAUGAGUUCUAUGUGUGUGUUUGAUUAUUUUACCUUGUUGUUCCAGAGCCUUGCCUUACUUCUGCAUAGUUAGCCUGAUAGCUUUAAAACUAUCAUGAAAGUAGAAAAAUUUUAGUAGACACCCAAGAACAGUGUAUAAAAAACACCUCUUUCUCUCAUUUCUUAAUAUUUUUGUCAUUUCUUAGUAGAAAUUUGUCAGUGACAAUUUGAGAGAAUGAGGAAGAAUAAGGAAGAGAAUCAGAAGAAAGAUAAAAUAUGGGGGGGAGGGGGAAAGGGGAAGCUAUACUAAUAAAAAAUAUCUGGUUUUGAGGCAACAAAAUGGAGAACGGUCUUAAUUGAAGAGGUAAAGCUUGGGGGGUGGGGGGGCUUCCUAGGGAAAAUCAAUUCUCAUAUUGUGAGAAACAGGUGAAUGCAAAAAACAAAUAUUAAGGGAGAAUAGAUGGAGAGAACUGUGGUGAUCUUGAAGCCAAUUAUUCCCUGCUGCCGGUGUUGAGCACAGGGAUUUUGAGCCUUUUUGUGGAUAGAUAACUUCAUGAAUGAACCACAGAACCUUAUAAGUUUUUCUGCAACAUGUUCAGUGUUGUCUUAUCCUUUCUUUUCAAAUACAUAGCGUUCACUGUAUGGCGCACCAUGUACUUCUCAUAAGCACAUUCUUAAUAUUAUUGCACCAAGAUUGCAUUUAAACCCAUAUCUGUUAUUCAAAAAUGUGUGCUUUCCGUUGAGCAAUUCUGUCUUGGGCAACUUCUUUGUUCUUCAGCUGCAUGGUGUUUCUGUUGCUUCUCCUGGCACUGACAGCCCAGCCCAUGGCUGCAGCUGCCUCGAGGUCAUUGAACAAUUUAAAAGCACAAUUUUGCAUCAGGUACCUCAUCCAGAGUUUGUGCUUUUGGCAGGAACAAAUACAGCAAACUCAGCUUGACUUACAGAGAAGAUUCAGGCCUCAUAGGGCAAGCCUGGCACUUCUCUAUGCUUCUAAGUUACAGGUGCUCGCAGACAGCUUUGGCAGCUGAAGCCCUAGAAGAUGAAAUGAGGCAGCUCUGUGUUGGUGAUCACAAGUUAAGAGUGACAUGCUGCUCUGUGUAACACAGAGCACUUGUCAGCUUUGCUCUCUGCCUGGCUAAAAAUACUUCACGGAAGCUGUGAGGAGCAGCUGCUUGGAGGGGUCCUUUAUGGCCUUGGUGCUUUAUAAACACCAUAAAUCACAGCUUUAAAAUAACUUCAGUACUGUAAGAUCUAUGCAUCCCACAGUUCAGAAACACAGCUUUCAGGUUGCUCUUGAAUGGAAACAACUACAGGAAAGAAAAGUCGUAUAUAAUUUAUAUGUAUCAGUGUGGACUGGAGAAUUUCUCUGUAAUUGUUUCAUGUAAUGUGGAAGCAGGUGCUUUACACUGUCAAGGGAGAUGGAGGAAAAAAAAAAUAAAGCAAACCUGAAACGCCAUAAAUUAAUACAGAGCAUUAAGACUCUACAUGGCAUAGCAUAGAUUGCAUUUUUGCUGCCAUUGAGCUGUCGAAUUCUGCUAAAUGCUGCUUCUACACAUGGAGACUUUUUAUGAUUGCCAUAUCAGUGAGGGAAAAAAUAUUAAUGGAAAUCAAUGAGUGUUCUAAAGGAAUGGCAAAUUUUAGACCCACUGGCUAGCUUGUAAGAUGAUUUAAAAAAAUGUAAAAUUAAAUUUCUGUGUUACAUUUGAGCUUAAAAACUCAAAUUGUGGGCAACUUAUUUAAUAAGUAUCAAGCAGAAAACGAGUAAAAUACAUAGUGUAAUCAAGAUAGCCCAUUUAAAAAACACCCUGAAUUGUAUUUAUUUUUAAAUGAUAAAAUUGGAAAUUUGAGUAGUAGUUCCUAUAGGCCCAUGUUACUGUGAACGAAGGGGAACUGCAAUAUUCUUGCUCUUUAACAAGGCUUUUAGCGCAACCAACAAAGCUUCACAAUAAAAGGUGGUUAUGGAUGGGAUUUUCUGAGUAGCUUGUCAGUCAACAUUGGGUGGGAAAGAGGUUAGAAGUUAUUAAGCUAACAUCCACUGUGGGUAACAGUGCUCAAGUACCACUAUUUAGCACUUAGGAUGUGGACUGUAAGUAACCACACUAAUUGGAUUACAAGUAAUUGCCGUAUCAAUUGAAUGUUUAUGUGAUUGUCGACCAUGCUGUUUUGAUGUGGUUUUUGCUAAUUGUUGGUAUAAUUGCCCCACCACUUCUUAACACCUCUGAAAUGUUAAACAGAGGAUCCAAGAACAUAAUGGCAUACUAACCCAGUGUAGCAUCCUGAUAUGUUAUACUGAAAGCUGAAUAAAUCUGUAUGUAUGAUCUCAAAGUCAAAUUCAGCCAGGAGAAAAUUCUCAUUUAAAACUUGACAAGAACUUAAAAAUAAUAAUAAUAAUAAUAAUAAAAUAGUAAUGUUAACAGGGAAAUUUGGAACAGAGAAUGAGCUAAUGAUUGUUUUUAGAAGUGGCUUUUUUUGUACUUAAGUAAAUUGUUCUGCAGUGAAGUAAGAGCUAAAUAGUAAGGUGAUUGUUAUUUCUUUUAAUGAUAAGCACCAGACUACUCAAACUUCUUUUAACUCAGUUUAUUCUUGUAAAUCUGCAAACUUGAGCUUGGGCAGAAAUCCCUGAGUUUCACUUGGCAAUUAACUUGCUAGUUCCAGCAAGGCAUUAUGACCCCCAGGCUUCUUGGGAGAAGCUGCUCUCCUCGGCACGCCAGAAAAGGUAAGAAGCAAUUAUAUACGGCAGCAAUUUCAAGAGAACGUAAGGCAGGUUCUCAGCUCUCUUGAGGUUCUCAGAAAGGUGAUCUAGGAAUUGGUAAGGAUUCAGCAGAAGACAUGAAGUAGAUAGGGUGAAAUGUGGAAGCAGUGCUUUAAGCUGCAAUGCCACUAUACGGCUGCAAGUGAUAACUUUCCCAGGAGGUCGCUUUGGGAUGAAUGGUCUCCUGUUGAUUUGCAAAGUUGCUGUGUUCUUCUCUUGUAGCAAGUUUUCUGAGUCUUUAAAACAAACCUACACAAUGUAAGGUUCAGGAUACGUGCACUUUGCCUGUUGGCAAACAGGAGGUAGUCCACCCGUAGGGAAAUAUUCAACUAUAAGGUGCAACAGCACCGGAGAAACACUUUCUUAAUACAGAACAUCUGCAGGGCCUUGCUAAGACUAAAAGAGUUAAUUGCUGACCUGAUCUGCUCUGUAAUUAGAGAAAGUGUUUACAAAUCCCGACCAUGAGGGUAAAGAAGAUAUCCUGGGCAUCCUUCCAACCAAUCUGACAGAGUUCCGCUUUCUGAAACUGCUAAUUGGUAACAUUUUGGGUUGUCACUUUAAGAAAUCCAGCACAAUGUUAACAGAGCAUAUUUAGUCACUUGGACAUAAAAACUCUAUUUGGAAAUGCAAAUGCAUGCUGGAAAUAUUUUCCAUAAGUAAAAUGAUAAACAACAGACAAAAUUGAAAGAAAGCUGAAAGUUAUUUUAAGUAUCAGAUCUUUGAUUGUCCUCAUCAUGGGUACACUAAAUCCCCUUCCUAACGUGUCUGUUCCAUAUAGGGACAGCAGGAGCAGAGUAGUUAUAUUUAAUCAGUGAAACAAAAUCAAAGGCGAUGGCAUACAAAAGCAUGUACUCUGUCUUGAACUGCUGACUUUUUUCAAGUUUUAAUCAUGCCUAUAGACUUCUAAAAGCAUACAUGUCUUAGCGUUUCUUUCCAUUUCAUAAUAAAAGUUAUAUCAAUUGCAUAUUUUAAAAAUAUUCCUCAUAUCUUCUGCUGUCAAUACAAUUUCAGUUGUACUACAUAGUGCCCGCUUAAUUUUAUUUAUAUGUAUAUAUAGAAAGCAUCAGAAAUCUUCACAUAUGUGUAUAUAUUUAACAAGUUUAUACUACUUUAGUUUCGCAGUCGUCUAAACAUUAAAAGGAAUCAUUUAACUUCUGCUGAACAUGAAGUCUUGGCAUUACUAUCUAUUGCUGAAAUAAGGUAUGAAACGAGCUCUUUUCUCAGUGGAGAUAACUAGCUGUACAGAGUAUCAACCAUACAGAUUUUGUUUAUAUGAGAUGUAACCACUCUGGUUGAUUUAUCAUAUGUUUGUCUUCAAGGAUUCUUGGAGUUCUGCCAAACUUCAUUUCAGAUUUGCUUGUCAGAUUUCCAGUUUCUUGUAUUUAAUAAGGGCAUCUCUAACAUGGUUCUUAGAAACUGGUUUCUAUGCAGGACUUUUACCCGCUGCUAGUUUUUAAAGCAUCUUUGUGUGUUUCUGCUUUACUUUACUAUUUCUUAAUCAAGAAGAAAUUACUAUCCCUUUCUCCUUCAGGAUGUCCGAGGAAUUUUAUUUUUAUGAUCUGUGGAAUUGGAAAGUAUUUUCAACAUAUUCUGAGCAUGUUACACUUCAGAAUUUCUCUCCCCAUUCUUCUGUGAAGGGGAGCAGAAAGCAGUGUUGAUGUGGAUGACUGAUGUAUAUGGAUUGUCACUACUGAAUAGGGCUAAUCACUAGAGAACCACUGGGAAAGCAUUCUCUUCAGGGGCAUGGAAGAACUCUCAAACAGGAAGAUAAGGAACUACUAUGAUCUUUCUCUCAGGACAUGGGAAAAGGCAGAUGUAUGCUUCCAUACCUAGAAAUCUGUUUGACAAAUCUGUUUGACCUUUCUUUCUCACACCUGAGCAGAAAGAUAAGAAUCAAUGAUGUGAUGAUCAGGGGAGCAUUGGAACAAGGCACGUCAAGAGUGUCCCUUCUUACAGCUCUAGCAAGCAAUAGGUCGGUAAUGGUGAGUGGCCACUUAACUGAAAUUAGUGGUGGUGUUGAAUGCUGUCCUUAAGGGAUGAUUAAGAGCUGUGUCCUUUAUCUCCCUGCCCUGUUCUUUAUUUCAUAUAGGAGAAAAAAAUUAAACUUCUGAUAUUAAGCUUUAAA